RNAcentral lists this ribosomal RNA (252 nucleotides) under Mysidacea environmental sample. RNAcentral describes it as "partial 18S ribosomal RNA". It matches the Rfam family "Eukaryotic small subunit ribosomal RNA", at positions 504 to 761 of the family's 1831-position model. The record is from RNAcentral. Lineage: Eukaryota; Metazoa; Arthropoda; Malacostraca.
UGCAAUUGGAAUGAGUUCACUUUAAAUCCUUUGACAAGGAUCCAUUGGAGGGCAAGUCUGGUGCCAGCAGCCGCGGUAAUUCCAGCUCCAAUAGCGUAUAUUAAAGUUGCUGCGGUUAAAAAGCUCGUAGUUGGAUCUCAGUUCUGGACCGACGGUUCGCCUCUGGCGAUUUACUGUCGGUCCAAACCGAUCGUCGGCUCGCACGGGGUGCUCUUCAUCGAGUGUCCCGCGUGGCCGGCAUGUUACUUGAAA